Molecule: ribosomal RNA, 995 nt
Filed under: gamma proteobacterium MPD-61
Lineage: Bacteria; Pseudomonadati; Pseudomonadota; Gammaproteobacteria
Description: bacterial SSU rRNA
Rfam family: Bacterial small subunit ribosomal RNA
Source: RNAcentral
GUGCCAGCAGCCGCGGUAAUACGGAGGGUGCAAGCGUUAAUCGGAAUUACUGGGCGUAAAGCGCGCGUAGGUGGCUUGAUAAGCCGGUUGUGAAAGCCCCGGGCUCAACCCGGGAACGGCAUCCGGAACUAUGAGGCUAGAGUGCAGGAGAGGAAGGUAGAAUUCCCGGUGUAGCGGUGAAAUGCGUAGAGAUCGGGAGGAAUACCAGUGGCGAAGGCGGCCUUCUGGACUGACACUGACACUGAGGUGCGAAAGCGUGGGUAGCAAACAGGAUUAGAUACCCUGGUAGUCCACGCCGUAAACGAUGUCGACCAGCCGUUGGGUGCCUAGCGCACUUUGUGGCGAAGUUAACGCGAUAAGUCGACCGCCUGGGGAGUACGGCCGCAAGGUUAAAACUCAAAUGAAUUGACGGGGGCCCGCACAAGCGGUGGAGCAUGUGGUUUAAUUCGAUGCAACGCGAAGAACCUUACCUACCCUUGACAUCCUGCGAACUUGUGAGAGAUCACUUGGUGCCUUCGGGAGCGCAGAGACAGGUGCUGCAUGGCUGUCGUCAGCUCGUGUUGUGAAAUGUUGGGUUAAGUCCCGUAACGAGCGCAACCCUUGUCCUUAUUUGCCAGCGGGUAAUGCCGGGAACUCUAAGGAGACUGCCGGUGACAAACCGGAGGAAGGUGGGGACGACGUCAAGUCAUCAUGGCCCUUACGGGUAGGGCUACACACGUGCUACAAUGGCCGGUACAAAGGGCUGCGAGCUCGCGAGAGUCAGCGAAUCCCUUAAAGCCGGUCUCAGUCCGGAUCGGAGUCUGCAACUCGACUCCGUGAAGUCGGAAUCGCUAGUAAUCGUGCAUCAGAAUGGCACGGUGAAUACGUUCCCGGGCCUUGUACACACCGCCCGUCACACCAUGGGAGUGGACUGCACCAGAAGUGGUUAGCCUAACUUUGGAGGGCGAUCACCACGGUGUGGUUCAUGACUGGGGUGAAGUCGUAACAAGGUAGCC